RNAcentral lists this long non-coding RNA (200 nucleotides) under Gossypium barbadense (sea-island cotton). RNAcentral describes it as "long non-coding RNA (GBAR_LNC018685)". Lineage: Eukaryota; Viridiplantae; Streptophyta; Magnoliopsida; Malvales; Malvaceae. The record is from RNAcentral.
CAGCGGCUCAAUAAAAACUAGAAACUUACCUCCAAUUAUUGUGUUUAAGAUUCUCAUCAACAACAUUUUCAGUGUCGCUUUCGAAUCAUUAAUUUACACUAAUUACAAAGCAAAUCAUUUGCUAAAAUGAUCCUUGUUUUAUUCUUAUAUUUAUUUAUUUAGAGCAAAAACUCUUCUUAUAAAGUUCUCAAACAUCCAAC